RNAcentral lists this ribosomal RNA (468 nucleotides) under uncultured bacterium. Its description in RNAcentral is "partial 16S ribosomal RNA". It matches the Rfam family "Bacterial small subunit ribosomal RNA", at positions 28 to 507 of the family's 1533-position model. The record is from RNAcentral.
GACGAACGCUGGCGGCGUGCUUAACACAUGCAAGUCGAACGGAAAGGCCCUGCUUUUGUGGGGUGCUCGAGUGGCGAACGGGUGAGUAGCACGUGAGUAACCUGCCCUUGACUUUGGGAUAACUUCAGGAAACUGGGGCUAAUACCGGAUAGGAGCUCCUGCUGCAUGGUGGGGGUUGGAAAGUUUCGGCGGUUGGGGAUGGACUCGAGGCUUAUCAGCUUGUUGGUGGGGUAGUGGCUUACCAAGGCUUUGACGGGUAGCCGGCCUGAGAAGGUGACCGGCCACAUAGGGACUGAGGUACGGACCAGAGUCCAACGGGAGGCAGCAGUGGGGAAUAUUGCACAAUGGGCGGAAGCCUGAUGCAGCAACGCCGCGUGCGGGAUGACGGCCUUCGGGUUGUAAACCACUUUCGCCUGUGACGAAGCGUGAGUGACGGUAAUGGGUAAAGAAGCACCGGCUAACUACGUG